CUCUCUGGCCUCCAAGGUGAACCCAACUCCCCAGCGCGCCCCGGGUUCCCGGGUCGGGCCGGCUUCAGGCGGUGGGGAGCGGGAUCCCGGGCCCCGGGCGGGCGGGAGGGACGGGACGCGGUGCAGUGUUGUUUUUUCCCCCGCCAAUAUUGCACUCGUCCCGGCCUCCGGCCCCCCCGGCCCCCCGGCCUCCCCGCUACCCCUAGCGGGGCAGCCCCCGCCCUCCUGGCUCUCCAUCCCGGCGGAUCUUUGAUAGACUGGAGUGUCGCCGCUGCCACCGUGAGUUGGUGAAAGUCCCGAACUUUGUCUCCCCACCCAGAGGACAACUGGCCAGGAAAUCUGCCUGUUUCUUGUCUCACCCUCUAGUCCACACUCUGCCUAACACUACGCCCUACCUCACAUUCCUAUUGACAUCUGCUGCAGAUCACACCCUUGUGAUGGACAAACUGCUCAGUACAGUCCCACCCACCCAGCCUCCUUGUCCUGGGCACGAGGUUUUUGCCUCCCUGAUUUGGAGUAUUUGGCCCUUACUAGAGAGCUGCCAGAUGAGGGACAUUUCCUUCACCUGGAGAAGGAUGGGGAGGAGUCAGCACUUGACAUCUGCCACCCUACCCCAGAAUCAGUGCCACCCUUCGCCAGCCCACCCAAACCUGGUCUCGUAUAUCAUCCCGCAGCUCCACCAGGAUCUGGUUGAAGAGGAACUCAGAGGCUCCUCCCGGCUCACCUGCAUCCUCAAAUACGCCUUCUGUCCAGUCCUAAUCUCCAGCCCAUCGACCUCCGCUGGAGGAAUGGGGGCCAGUGCUGGAAGGCCUGCAUGUUGGUCACCCAGUUUGCAGUCCACGUAGAGAUGUAGGGCAGGGCUGGGUCUGGAGGGACCUCGGAGUCGCAGGAGAACUGUGUGUGUGCGCCCAUCAGCCAGGCCCGCUUGCUGUAGGUUCACGGCGUGGACUUUGCCAUCCUCCCGCUGGUAUCGCACCAGUACUGCCCAGGAGGGGAGAUCAGUAUGGGCGCUAUCCCCCACCCCCUGCCUCCCAGCUGAGCCUUGGAUCAACUCUGCUAGAUACCACAUCUCUAGGGCCCCUAUCCCUAAUUCUACUAUGUGGCUCUCAACACCUUGUAUUUAAUAGGUACACAAUAAAUGUUUUUGAAAUUGC
This 1154-nucleotide long non-coding RNA is filed under the name Homo sapiens (human). RNAcentral describes it as "THBS3 antisense RNA 1". The record is from RNAcentral. Lineage: Eukaryota; Metazoa; Chordata; Mammalia; Primates; Hominidae.